This 5723-nucleotide small RNA is filed under the name Rattus norvegicus (Norway rat). Its description in RNAcentral is "uncharacterized LOC102551042". Lineage: Eukaryota; Metazoa; Chordata; Mammalia; Rodentia; Muridae. The record is from RNAcentral.
CCCACGCAGUGAAAUCCAGCAUUUCUUGACUGUCAAUCAACCAUUUUUAAUCCCUGGCCAUUUCUGAUAUAUGACUAGAGAUGCUCACGUGGUUUUGCCUAUGUAGGAGUUUCCAAGCCUAAGAAGUCUGAAACGUUUGCACUCCGCAUGAGGUAUGGAUACUGGAGUUGUAUAAUGGAGCGGCUACAGGAGGGAGAGUCUGAGCAAAACAGAUCAUCGCUAUCCAAAGGGACUGGCUUCCUCCAUGGUCAGACAGCCAUGUCCCCCUCCACAGACAGGGUUAACCAGAGCCACUGCGGAGUCAAGGGUGCAGACCUGACCAGCUAGAUAGGAACUGAUACAUCCUCUUUCUCUCCCUGACCUGCCUGUCACCCAGCCCUAGCAGAGCCACUGCGACAGGGUGGAGCAAUGGCACAGGGCAGGGAAUCCUAGGACCAAACCCAGAGGAGGGAUGGUAGACAAAAUGGUGGACAAGGAUCAAGGAGUGAGCCCAGGAGGGAGAGACGUGAGCAGACGGAAAGGCAAGCUGAAUGAGAACACGUGCUGCUGGGACACCAGUCAUUCCAAACUUCCAUGCCCUCGGCAGGCCUGGCUGUAUCCACGCCAGGGCAGAGGCAGGCAGGGCUCCUAAGACCUUCCAGCUCUGCAGAGGUGGACAAGGCUAAGGUUGAAAGGCAGGAUCUGCCACUGUGUGGCCAGAUCCCCAGUUUCUUUGAACCCUGGUUUCCUCAGCUAUAACAUGGGGUCUCAUCACCUGCCCCACAAGAUUAAUCUGGAGAUUAAACUGCACCAGAGGACACAGAGACGCUGAAAGUCACUAGUCGCUAGGGCUGAUGGAGCCCUGGGAAGGCAGGGGAGGGUGUUCAGAGAGACCAUGGAGCGCCAAGCCCUUGAAAGCCUGGUAUGACCUCUCGUAGUUGUGAGUCUGACUGCAUCAUACCAGGCUGCCAGCUCUCAUAUUCAUUUGUGCCUUGGUCCCCAAGGGCUUGCCUCUUCCCUGGGAGGCUGUGCUCAACCAUGCUUGGAGAAGGCCUGUCCAUCUCCUUGGUGCUGGCAGGAGGCACCCCAUAAAUCAAUCACUAAAUUCCAGGCAGAUGCACACGUUGUUUUGGUUGGAAACCCUGAUCCUCUCUGUGGCUGUGGUGCGACCCGACUCAGGUGAUUCAGUGGGACAGAGGCCUGGAGCUGGUUCCACUAGAGGGUGACGAUAAUAUUUUCUUUCCUGUCUUACCUUGGAGACAGGGUGGGAAUUUUUCCAGCCUUCUAUAUGGGGCCAACGCAAAUGCAGGUUUACUCAGUGAAUAUUUAUAGACCCCAGGGAUCUAGUAACAUGGACUUCAGAGGUCCCCCCCGGGGGAGGGGGGCUCACAGUACACAGUACUCUCCCCAGAACCCCACUGGCCUCACAGCCAGACCAUGGAGGAGGCAAGAGACUAUAUACAUAGCAAAAGAUUGUGACUUAGCUACCUUUGGCUCUGGGUUCAAAUCUCAAGCCUGAUACUUUACCAAACCUCAGCUGAUGUUUCUGCAAACCCGGGGAAGAAACCAAAAAUUUAGGAAGUCCUGAUGUCAGAUUUAAACUACUAUCUAUGAGAUGUUCAGGACUCAGCACAUUUUAAUCAUCUGGAAGAUUACUGAUAUCAAUGUAAUGUUAUGAGUGCUUAGAGAAGGGACACAGCUAACCGAUGUCCCAAAGCAGUGAGAAUUCAGGUGCCUUGAGAAGCAAGAGGUCAGAAUUGAGAUUGGGGCCAAGUAUCAGCCCUCAGGCUUCCUGAAGAUGACCCAGUAAGAAUGAGGAUGUCCAAGUAUGGGGUAGGACAGAGCAGUGAUGUCAGCGCUUUGGUAGUGCUAAAGGACCUCUAAGCCUGGGAGGCUGGUCCUCUACAUCGGUUUGAUGGAUGCUCCUAUCCUGCCCCUCCCUGGGUCUCAGGCUGCUUGGUUCGUUUCUUUCUUUCUCUCCUUCCCAUUUCCCUCCUUUGCAUUUUACUCUGCGGCUCAGGAUGGCUUCAAACACAUGACAACGCUUCCCUGAGAACUAGCUUCAAGGGCACCACACACAGCUUAGGUCUCUGCUUGUCAUUACAGACCCAGGGGUGGGUGGCAGGCUUUCUGGGGUCCCCAGCUUUCUUCUGGACAGAGUCUAGAUCUAAACUUGCUAGCACGUGAGUGUCUGGAAUCCUACAGUGACACAGCCAUUCACCAAGCAUGUGCUCUGUAUAAAAAACACUGAGCAUUUGACUUAAACAGUCUCCUUACCCCUCCGCACGCCCCCAGAAGGUGUCCUGUCACUGUGCCAUUGUGUAAAGAAGAGAAUUAAGUAACACCGUUGUCAAGGUAGAACCAGGAUUUGAAACCAGGCUGACGCUACCCUGCUGUCCCUCUCAUACCUACGCAUACACCCGCAUCACAUGCAUGGUCCUGCCUGUGCUCAGGCAGCUCCCAGAGACUGAGCUCAGCUGACUAACGGCAUGAGGAGAGGAGGCAAAGGCAGGGCAGAGGGGUGAGCUCAGCAGGGCUUCACUGAGAAGGCGAGAGGAUGUGCUUGUGAAUGCUGUCGCUUUGUCCUAGGUUCAAAUCCCAAGCCUGACAUUUCUGCUGAGUAUCCACUGACACCUCUACACACGAGCUCUACCCCUUUGUCCUUAGAGGGGUCCCUAGAUGCUAGUUUGUCUGCUGGCAGCCUCUAGGUAGCCAGUUACUUGGCUCUCCGCCCCAGCCCAAAUGCCUACCCUCCCCAGCUGAACACUUGUGACUCUUAGGAAAGGUUUUUACCUUUGUGAGCCUGUCUGCUCAUUUGUGACAUGGAGCAUGAACCCUCCACCUCAGAGUUGUCCAGAGGACACAGUGCCUGCUCCAGGAGCUCAUGGGAUAUCAAGAUACCAUAUGUUAUACAUGCUGUGAAGCCGAUCCAAUGGCCACCUGUCACAGCUUCUUCUGACUACUACAAAUGGCCGGUACCUUCUCUGUUCCUAUAGCACAUGGUUCACCCUACAGCUAUUGCCCUCUCCCUACAGACUCCGGGCUGCUUGGGGCUGAUGUUAAGACAGUUUGCCUUGGGACCCUCAGAACCAGGUCUGGCUCAGAGCAGAUGUUCAGGGGACAUUCACAGCAACAAUGGGUGACAUAGGCGUGGAUGGCCCUAAGGCCCUCUUUGUUCUCCAGGGCACCCUGCCAUCCGCUUCCCUUCUCUUUCCUAUGGCAGGGCAUCUGCUCCAACACACAUUCUGGGCGAGCCCAAGGCACAGAGAAGUGAAGCAGAGAGUGUCCGCAUGGCUUCCCCACCAGCCACCGUUCCAGAGGAGGCAAGGCUCAGGCAUGUACCGGGAGGGUGGGGUCUGUCACAGUCACAUACCCACCUGCUCAGCCAUCAUUGUAGAGCCAGGCCAGGGUACCAAAGCUGACUGUUCAAAGAGAUAAAAGGCCGGGAAACAAGAGAAUACAAGGGAGGGAUGGGAAAAGAGGAGAAGGAAAAAAUAAUUUUUGAAAAAAAAAGGGGUUCUUUUGGUGUUUGUUUUCAAAGCCACUGACGAAAACCAGAUUUGAAGUUUGGGGUAAAAAGGGAUUUGGGCCUUUCAAAUUCCACUCUCCACUAAUUGACUGCAGUUUCUCUUGAAAGAGCCCUCAGCUCUUCAGAACAAUCAGCAGCCCAGCUGGGCCUCUGCAGCCAGCAGCAGCCUGGCUCCAGAGGGUCGCCCUUGCUAUGUGAGUACCAAGUGACACAGGCCGUUGGACAGAUGGAGGGACAGGCAGGGGUGAAGGACUCUCAAAAGGCACACUUGGAGCCACAUGGGAAGGCCAGGUCAGGAGUCACAUCUAGGCUGCCUGCCUGCCUCCCAGUGCUUGCUCUGUCCUUGGCUGCCUGCCCCUCACGGUGCUUGUGGCUUUCCAGGACAGUAGUGAGCCACGAUGGAUUCAACAGGAGGCUGUAGUGUAGGUUUUCUGUUAGCAACAUACGAGGGUAGGUAUGUUGCUCUUCCCACAUUGUAGCAUACUGACGGCAUCUCCACCUCUCCUCCAGCCAAGUCAAAAGUACCCCCAGCUCAGGCCCUGCUAAUCCUUCCUUACACAGUGUGCACCAUUUUGUAACAGCUUUCUUUGUAGCAAUUCAGAAGCAAACAUUCCUGUUCCCUCUCCACAUAGGGAGAAGCUUAGAUCCAAAGGCCCUCAGCUCCCACAACCCAGUGCUGGGACAAUCCAAGGACUUGUCAUGGGCAGUUCAGACUGUCUCAUGUCAACUCCCGACCCUCAGCCCAGGCAGCUGAGGAAUGAGGCAAAGCCACUUGCCUACUCAGGGGUCCAGUCCUAGCUGUGAGUGGCCCUUCCCAGGCCCCACCCACCCACCAUGUUAAAAAGUAGUCCUGGGAAAAGCUAGCUGUCCCUCCCCAAGUAGCCAAUGCUAUUUUUCUCAGCAGAGGCUGGCUCCUUCUCUUUUCAGUGCCCACACCUAGCCCCGGAGGUGGCCUCCACUGCUGCCCUGGAGUGUGCUCUCCCCGUUCCUGGCCCAGCCUCUCUUCCUUCUACCCUGUAGACAACGGCUCCUGUGCAUGAGCUGCCUCAGUGAACGGAUGGUUUUCUCAAUGCAGAAUCUCAGUGCCCGCUGGGAGAGCCCUGAGGUCCUGCAAUGUUCAGACAGCAGGGGAGUUGGAGGUAUAGGGAGGACCAGGGUGUCCAACUGGGUGAUCCUUCUCUAGUUCUUGGGCUCCUCAUUGAGAAGACAAGGUUGGACACUGUCUUUUCAGACAUUUGUGGACAGGGUCUUCUGGCCCCUUGGGGAUGGCGUUGUCAUAGUGACCCUUGAAGAUGAGGGCUGAGGUGAUUAUGAAGCCCCAGAGAGGCGGGGCCUUGGUAGCAGAGGGCUAACAGCAUCCUUGGCACAUCUUUUUGACACAGUGCUCUUCUUGAGCUUCUGGGAAGGAAGAGCUGGGUCUCAGAAGGUGCGAGGGAGUGACCAGUGACUGGUGGCCCCUGGCUCAACCGGCCGAAGGCAGUCAUCAGCAUGAUCCUAUUGCCACCAUAAUUACAAACACCAGCAGCACAGCUGCCCAGAGCUAAGCUGCCGUGCUUGGAUGGAGGGAACACGGAGUCCAGGUAACACACAGUUCAUCGCAGAGCUGUUCUUGGGGCAUAGAAUAGGCUGCACUCAAGUAAGAGCUCCGUAAAUGCCAGCGAUUGACUGAGCAACAAAAGUCCCGGCCACAGUGGUUUCUUUCUGUGCCCGUGGCUUACACAUCACACAAACACCAAGGUGUCCCCAGGCAUGCUACCUGCCAGGAACCCACAACAGGGUCCUACAAGACAGUGAACUAAUAUCCAGAUGCAUACAAGUCAGAGCUCCAAGUCCCAGGCUGGAGUGGAAGGACCGCACCAUUCAUGCUACAGUACCAUGUUAAGCCGCUUCGAGGUGACCCUACAGAGUACUGCUGUCAUCUCCACGGCUCUCAGAGGAGAAAUCAGGGCUCAGAGAAACUAAGUAACCUCAACAAAGGGGUAAUUGAACUGGGAUUUACCUUGAGUCUACUUGGCUCCUUCUAAGUCAUUUUCAAUCAAAGCAUUAAUGAAUGGGGCGAAGUGGACGCCAGGCGAGCAUUGCAGGGAGGCUAGCACGUGCACAGGCUGUUGGGUGGGCCUUCUGGCUAGCACUUGUACAGCAAGGAUGUGGGAGAUCCUGCCAAACUUAGCCACUCUGGAAGCUUGGAGCACUGAGAAACACGGGUGAAAGUGCA